RNAcentral lists this ribosomal RNA (253 nucleotides) under uncultured bacterium. Its description in RNAcentral is "partial 16S ribosomal RNA". It matches the Rfam family "Bacterial small subunit ribosomal RNA", at positions 524 to 776 of the family's 1533-position model. The record is from RNAcentral.
UACGGAGGGGGCUAGCGUUGUUCGGAAUCACUGGGCGUAAAGCGCACGUAGGCGGAUUUUUAAGUCAGGGGUGAAAUCCCGAGGCUCAACCUCGGAACUGCCUUUGAUACUGGAGAUCUUGAGUCCGGAAGAGGUAAGUGGAACUGCGAGUGUAGAGGUGAAAUUCGUAGAUAUUCGCAAGAACACCAGUGGCGAAGGCGGCUUACUGGUCCGGAACUGACGCUGAGGUGCGAAAGCGUGGGGAGCAAACAGG